Orussus abietinus is the source of this 1428-nucleotide RNA transcript. It is a transcript of the gene named transmembrane protein 208, with no coding region annotated. The transcript is spliced from 6 exons. NCBI's taxonomy places the organism in Eukaryota, Metazoa, Arthropoda, Insecta, Hymenoptera, Orussidae. The record is from RefSeq and is a predicted model, not a curated record.
CACUGUAGUUUCGAGCGUGUUCUUUGGUCUCGCUUCAUUUUCAUUUUCCCGCCAGAUUUUAAAGAUGCUGGGGAAUGACCGCCAUCUUUAGCGAAAUUUCCAUGCCGCUUCGUUCUCAUUGGUCGGUUCUUGUGUAUCCUGUGGCACGUCGUUCCGCAUAAAUCGAUCCGUGUAAACGCACGUUACUGUCUCUGUCAUUCGACAAUCUCGCUCUUUCCAGCCGAAGUCGUUGUCAACGGUACCGGAGUGGGAACCUAUCGUUUCAUGUGCUUUCCUUUUCUUCUAGUCGAAACGACCGAUAAGUUAUACGCGAUACUAUGGCGCCACCGACGAAGAGCACCAAGGUAGCAACGAGAGGUGCAAAGCAAAUAGCGGAGGAGAACCUUUCGACGUUAUGCUUUUACAGAAACAUGAUUUUUGGAGCGUCAGGACUUUAUUUUACGAUCAUGACGACUUUCUUCGAGUUUACAAUUACCUCGAUACUUAUGAGUAUAUUGUCGAUGGCUGCGUACAUAGGAAGUUACCAAUUCAUGGCGUACAUGGCACGAGCCAAAUAUUCCGAAUCUGGACAACUCCUAGAUUCCGGGAUUGACCUUAAUAUGGAAGGCGGUAUUGCUGAACAUAUAAAGGAUUUAAUUAUUCUAACUGCCGGGGUGCAGACACUUUCAAUCAUUUCGAAUUACUUCUGGUUGCUAUGGCUUCUGGUUCCCGCACGAGGGAUGUGGAUGCUCUGGAACAAAAUCUUAGGUCCUUGGUUCUUUGCUCCUCCUCCAGAAGUCGACGAAAAGAAGCAGCGGAAGAUGGAAAAAAAAAUGUCAAGGAGGCAUUGAACUCAAUUUAUCGGAACAUCUUUAAUAAGAUAAAAUCUCUACACCAAAAGUAUUCCAGCCAUGAAAAUGGCGGUACUUAAUUAAAUCGUACCUCGAAUAUAAAGCAUUCAAUCGAUAAGAACGAGAGGACCGUGCACAAACAUCAAUGGAAAAUACAAUUUAAAGCGACGAUGACUAAUGAUCAAUAACUUCUUUUUUAUCAUACGCGCUCGAAGCAUGGAAACGUAUUCACAAGUAGCAAGAAAAGACGUUGGAAUUAAUUUAAAUGAUUCCAAGUUCAAUAAGUUACGUCGAUGUUCAUUGACGUUGACUAAGGAAUCGAUCGUCGGUUCAAGAAUUCCAACAACGAUCGUCGAGAAAAGUGCACGGUCACUCGGGGACACCUUGCUGCGUUUCCUCGAAUCGGAAGUAUCAGACAAAAUUUUGCCUCUGCGACCUCUGCGUCCAACGAGGAUUUUCGAGGUGCGUCGAAGAACGGUCCAGGGAAUAAUUACUGCGAAGCAACGAGGCGGCGCGGCGCGACUCUACGGACGAUUCCGGUAAUUGGCAGGAACAUGGGCGGGGACGCGGGCGCGUUUCAGGUCCAACGUAUAUACCC